CAGGUGGCGCAUGGUUGUCGUCAGCUCGUGUCGUGAGAUGUUGGGUUAAGUCCCGCAACGAGCGCAACCCCUAUUGUUAGUUGCCAUCAUUCAGUUGGGCACUCUGGCGAGACUGCCGGUAAUAAACCGGAGGAAGGUGGGGAUGACGUCAAAUCAUCAUGCCCCUUAUGACCUGGGCUACACACGUGCUACAAUGGUUGGUACAACGAGUUGCGAGUCGGUGACGGCGAGCUAAUCUCUUAAAGCCAAUCUCAGUUCGGGUUGUAGGCUGCAACUCGCCUACAUGAAGUCGGAAUCGCUAGUAAUCGCGGAUCAACACGCCGCGGUGAAUACGUUCCCGGGCCUU
RNAcentral lists this ribosomal RNA (346 nucleotides) under uncultured Streptococcus sp. Its description in RNAcentral is "bacterial SSU rRNA". It matches the Rfam family "Bacterial small subunit ribosomal RNA", at positions 1035 to 1382 of the family's 1533-position model. Lineage: Bacteria; Bacillati; Bacillota; Bacilli; Lactobacillales; Streptococcaceae. The record is from RNAcentral.